UAUGUUAACCGUGUUCUAACCAGAGUACAUAAAUUGCGAGGAAACCCGAAUGCAUAAAUUCUAUUCGAGCCGUACUUUGUCAAUUGUUUUUUAAUUAUAAUUUAUGCUGAAAAUGACACUAUAAAUUUAUUGCGUCUUAUCAGUUUUCUAACAUUAUGAUCUGCAUCAAGGGUUUUUCGUUAUUCCUUUGCUUAUCACAGAUUUAUCAUGUCGACCAAUAAAUUCAAUACUAGACACAGUGACCAAGGGAGAGUGAUCGGUUGAGUGCCUGAGACAGAAGAGAUGGCAUUGUAACUACACAUGAAUAGAUUUCUUAGCAUUCAUAUAACCAGUGGCGUGGUAUGUUUAUACCAUAUGAUAUUGAACAAAUGAUGCAUAUGCCGGGGACGCAGAUUAUACGGUUGUAAAAAGCAUAAAGAAUUACAGAGUCCGCUGAUCAAGAGUACACAGUCGUGGCCAUAAAUACUGAUGGAUACUGUUCAAAUAAGGGUACCUGCAAGACACAUAAGCAAUGUAAAAUUGACCUUACUGUAAAAUUGAUGUAGAUCUUCUGACUUAUUAACAAAGCAAUAAUAUUUAAUUUCCAGA
Molecule: long non-coding RNA, 588 nt
Organism: Cryptomeria japonica (Japanese cedar)
Lineage: Eukaryota; Viridiplantae; Streptophyta; Pinopsida; Cupressales; Cupressaceae
Exons: 2
Source: RefSeq, a predicted model, not a curated record